This 492-nucleotide ribosomal RNA is filed under the name uncultured bacterium. Its description in RNAcentral is "partial 16S ribosomal RNA". It matches the Rfam family "Bacterial small subunit ribosomal RNA", at positions 29 to 507 of the family's 1533-position model. The record is from RNAcentral.
AGUGAACGCUGGCGGUAGGCCUAACACAUGCCAGUCGAACGGCAGCACAGUAAGCGCUUGCUCUUACGGGUGGCGAGUGGCGGACGGGUGAGGAAUGCAUCGGAAUCUACUUUUUCGUGGGGGAUAACGGAGGGAAACUUACGCUAAUACCGCAUACGACCUACGGGUGAAAGCAGGAGAUCUUCGGACCUUGCGCGAUUGUAUGAGCCGAUGUCGGAUUAGCUAGUUGGCGGGGUAAAGGCCCACCAAGGCAACGAUCCGUAGCUGGUCUGAGAGGAUGAUCAGCCACACUGGAACUGAGACACGGUCCAGACUCCUACGGGAGGCAGCAGUGGGGAAUAUUGGACAAUGGGCGCAAGCCUGAUCCAGCCAUACCGCGUGGGUGAAGAAGGCCUUCGGGUUGUAAAGCCCUUUUGUUGGGAAAGAAAAGCAGCAGGUUAAUACCCCGCUGUUCUGACGGUACCCAAAGAAUAAGCACCGGCUAACUUCGUG